GUGCUCACUUGACAGCACAUAUACUAAAAUUGGAACAAUACAGAGAUUAGCAUCUCCCCUGCACAAGGAUGACAUGCAAAUUCGUGAAGCAUUUCAUAUUUUG
Molecule: small nuclear RNA, 103 nt
Organism: Callithrix jacchus (white-tufted-ear marmoset)
Lineage: Eukaryota; Metazoa; Chordata; Mammalia; Primates; Cebidae
Source: Ensembl